Molecule: long non-coding RNA, 796 nt
Organism: Oncorhynchus gorbuscha (pink salmon)
Lineage: Eukaryota; Metazoa; Chordata; Actinopteri; Salmoniformes; Salmonidae
Exons: 3
Source: RefSeq, a predicted model, not a curated record
ACGAGAAAGACAGAGAGCGAGCGCUGCCCCUAAAUGAGGGACAUCUGUUUCUAGUAUAUUUUACCAUUAAUCUUAUGGGAUACAAUUAUUUCAUUAUGGAGUUAUCAAUAGUUGUAAUUCUAAUUUGAUUUGUUAUUCUAAUUCUUUUUUUUUUACUUAACAGGCAGUGUUGUUUUCAUGUGUCCAAAGGGGGAAUUACCAAUCCCUUGGGACCCUUUGGUUCUGGCGAAGGUGACUACAGAUGGUAUCUAGAUACAUGGAAAGGAUCAUUUGACCGAGAACAGUGGAAACCUCACCCCCUCUAAAUGGCUGAAGUAAUGGCGACAAUGGCAUUCACUAUGGUCCUUCACCAUUUCACGUGAGACCUGAGUCCGAGCCAGCAACUUGUACACAGCAUCCAGUCGAAGCUAUCAACUGCAUUUUCUCUCAGGCUGUGACAUGAGUCCACGUGGAGUGAGCAUGGAGAGAGAUCCUGUCCAAACUUCUCUCAUGCUGCUGGUGUACAGGAGCAGGUUAUCCCAAGACUCCCGAUACAGACAUUCAGACACAGACAUUGACUUCUUUUCUUUAAAUUAUUGUUUUAUGUAGGAUGUUACCUUUGUUGGCCAGUUGCAAUUGUAAGUAGGCCAAAUGCAUUUUUUAAAAUCCCAUUUCUAUUAGGCCAUUUUUCUUCUUUUGGAAGAUGCUGUUAAGCCUCAUAGCCUACCUCAGCUAGUUAAGUUAUUUAAUAUGGGCCUUGGCUCUGAAUAAAUAAGACUACAAUUAAGCCCUCUUGUUGUUUGUAAAGUAAAAUUAA